CCCGAUUCAUAACUAGAAAGUUUCUCCGGCCCUUUGCUAAUCGGGGAUAAAACUCCGGAAAUUAGAAAUGCUAAAAUAGGAAUAACACUUGAUAUUAUUAGAAAUGCCCAGAAUAUAUCAUAUUCGUAAAUCAGAAACAUAGGCGCACUCCUAUGAAUGUGGAAAAUAUACUAGAUUAGUCGAGUCGAAUUGGAAUUAAUUCCUAACUCAUCUAUAACCGGUUAGUCAAAACAACAAUUUAUUUUGAUUCAACCACCUAGUUUUUUUUGUUUGCUUUGGUAUAUGUCUCGUUUCAAGAUUCGUCGACUAUAAUUUUUCCAUUACGUUUACUUCAAUUUUUGAAUUUUUUUUCGAUAUUGAUAUAAUAUUGAUAUAGUAUAAAUAGAUAUUGCUCUUAUAUAAAAUAUAAAGAAGACCCCCCCUUCCGCCUUUUCACUUCACCUUUGAUUCUCUCUAAAAAAGAGGGAAUUCAAAAUAUAAUUCUCAUUUUUUG
RNAcentral lists this unclassified non-coding RNA (493 nucleotides) under Hevea brasiliensis (rubber tree). Lineage: Eukaryota; Viridiplantae; Streptophyta; Magnoliopsida; Malpighiales; Euphorbiaceae. The record is from RNAcentral.